UUAAGCGACUAAGCGUACACGGUGGAUGCCCUGGCAGUCAGAGGCGAUGAAGGACGUGCUAAUCUGCGAUAAGCGUCGGUAAGGUGAUAUGAACCGUUAUAACCGGCGAUUUCCGAAUGGGGAAACCCAGUGUGUUUCGACACACUAUCAUUAACUGAAUCCAUAGGUUAAUGAGGCGAACCGGGGGAACUGAAACAUCUAAGUACCCCGAGGAAAAGAAAUCAACCGAGAUUCCCCCAGUAGCGGCGAGCGAACGGGGAGGAGCCCAGAGCCUGAAUCAGUGUGUGUGUUAGUGGAAGCGUCUGGAAAGGCGCGCGAUACAGGGUGACAGCCCCGUACACAAAAAUGCACAUGCUGUGAGCUCGAUGAGUAGGGCGGGACACGUGGUAUCCUGUCUGAAUAUGGGGGGACCAUCCUCCAAGGCUAAAUACUCCUGACUGACCGAUAGUGAACCAGUACCGUGAGGGAAAGGCGAAAAGAACCCCGGCGAGGGGAGUGAAAAAGAACCUGAAACCGUGUACGUACAAGCAGUGGGAGCACAGAGCAAUCUGUGUGACUGCGUACCUUUUGUAUAAUGGGUCAGCGACUUAUAUUCUGUAGCAAGGUUAACCGAAUAGGGGAGCCGAAGGGAAACCGAGUCUUAACUGGGCGUUAAGUUGCAGGGUAUAGACCCGAAACCCGGUGAUCUAGCCAUGGGCAGGUUGAAGGUUGGGUAACACUAACUGGAGGACCGAACCGACUAAUGUUGAAAAAUUAGCGGAUGACUUGUGGCUGGGGGUGAAAGGCCAAUCAAACCGGGAGAUAGCUGGUUCUCCCCGAAAGCUAUUUAGGUAGCGCCUCGUGAAUUCAUCUCCGGGGGUAGAGCACUGUUUCGGCAAGGGGGUCAUCCCGACUUACCAACCCGAUGCAAACUGCGAAUACCGGAGAAUGUUAUCACGGGAGACACACGGCGGGUGCUAACGUCCGUCGUGAAGAGGGAAACAACCCAGACCGCCAGCUAAGGUCCCAAAGUCAUGGUUAAGUGGGAAACGAUGUGGGAAGGCCCAGACAGCCAGGAUGUUGGCUUAGAAGCAGCCAUCAUUUAAAGAAAGCGUAAUAGCUCACUGGUCGAGUCGGCCUGCGCGGAAGAUGUAACGGGGCUAAACCAUGCACCGAAGCUGCGGCAGCGACACUGUGUGUUGUUGGGUAGGGGAGCGUUCUGUAAGCCUGUGAAGGUGUGCUGUGAGGCAUGCUGGAGGUAUCAGAAGUGCGAAUGCUGACAUAAGUAACGAUAAAGCGGGUGAAAAGCCCGCUCGCCGGAAGACCAAGGGUUCCUGUCCAACGUUAAUCGGGGCAGGGUGAGUCGACCCCUAAGGCGAGGCCGAAAGGCGUAGUCGAUGGGAAACAGGUUAAUAUUCCUGUACUUGGUGUUACUGCGAAGGGGGGACGGAGAAGGCUAUGUUGGCCGGGCGACGGUUGUCCCGGUUUAAGCGUGUAGGCUGGUUUUCCAGGCAAAUCCGGAAAAUCAAGGCUGAGGCGUGAUGACGAGGCACUACGGUGCUGAAGCAACAAAUGCCCUGCUUCCAGGAAAAGCCUCUAAGCAUCAGGUAACAUCAAAUCGUACCCCAAACCGACACAGGUGGUCAGGUAGAGAAUACCAAGGCGCUUGAGAGAACUCGGGUGAAGGAACUAGGCAAAAUGGUGCCGUAACUUCGGGAGAAGGCACGCUGAUAUGUAGGUGAAGUCCCUCGCGGAUGGAGCUGAAAUCAGUCGAAGAUACCAGCUGGCUGCAACUGUUUAUUAAAAACACAGCACUGUGCAAACACGAAAGUGGACGUAUACGGUGUGACGCCUGCCCGGUGCCGGAAGGUUAAUUGAUGGGUCAGCGCAAGCGAAGCUCUUGAUCGAAGCCCCGGUAAACGGCGGCCGUAACUAUAACGGUCCUAAGGUAGCGAAAUUCCUUGUCGGGUAAGUUCCGACCUGCACGAAUGGCGUAAUGAUGGCCAGGCUGUCUCCACCCGAGACUCAGUGAAAUUGAACUCGCUGUGAAGAUGCAGUGUACCCGCGGCAAGACGGAAAGACCCCGUGAACCUUUACUAUAGCUUGACACUGAACAUUGAGCCUUGAUGUGUAGGAUAGGUGGGAGGCUUUGAAGUGUGGACGCCAGUCUGCAUGGAGCCGACCUUGAAAUACCACCCUUUAAUGUUUGAUGUUCUAACGUGGACCCGUGAUCCGGGUUGCGGACAGUGUCUGGUGGGUAGUUUGACUGGGGCGGUCUCCUCCUAAAGAGUAACGGAGGAGCACGAAGGUUGGCUAAUCCUGGUCGGACAUCAGGAGGUUAGUGCAAUGGCAUAAGCCAGCUUGACUGCGAGCGUGACGGCGCGAGCAGGUGCGAAAGCAGGUCAUAGUGAUCCGGUGGUUCUGAAUGGAAGGGCCAUCGCUCAACGGAUAAAAGGUACUCCGGGGAUAACAGGCUGAUACCGCCCAAGAGUUCAUAUCGACGGCGGUGUUUGGCACCUCGAUGUCGGCUCAUCACAUCCUGGGGCUGAAGUAGGUCCCAAGGGUAUGGCUGUUCGCCAUUUAAAGUGGUACGCGAGCUGGGUUUAGAACGUCGUGAGACAGUUCGGUCCCUAUCUGCCGUGGGCGCUGGAGAACUGAGGGGGGCUGCUCCUAGUACGAGAGGACCGGAGUGGACGCAUCACUGGUGUUCGGGUUGUCAUGCCAAUGGCACUGCCCGGUAGCUAAAUGCGGAAGAGAUAAGUGCUGAAAGCAUCUAAGCACGAAACUUGCCCCGAGAUGAGUUCUCCCUGACCCUUUAAGGGUCCUGAAGGAACGUUGAAGACGACGACGUUGAUAGGCCGGGUGUGUAAGCGCAGCGAUGCGUUGAGCUAACCGGUACUAAUGAACCGUGAGGCUUAACCUU
This 2902-nucleotide ribosomal RNA is filed under the name Escherichia coli. Its description in RNAcentral is "bacterial LSU rRNA". It matches the Rfam family "Bacterial large subunit ribosomal RNA". The record is from RNAcentral. Lineage: Bacteria; Pseudomonadati; Pseudomonadota; Gammaproteobacteria; Enterobacterales; Enterobacteriaceae.